UACGAAGGUGGCAAGCGUUGUUCGGAUUCACUGGGCAUAAAGGGCGCGUAGGCGGUUCCGAAAGUGAUCUGUGAAAGCCCCCGGCUCAACCGGGGAAGUGCAGGUCAAACUUCGGUACUCGAGGCUGGGAGGGGAGACUGGAACUCUCGGUGGAGCGGUGAAAUGCGUAGAUAUCGAGAGGAACACCGGUGGCGAAGGCGAGUCUCUGGUCCAGCACUGACGCUGAGGCGCGAAAGCGUGGGUAGCAAACAGGAUUAGAAACCCUCGUAGUCC
RNAcentral lists this ribosomal RNA (273 nucleotides) under uncultured prokaryote. Its description in RNAcentral is "partial 16S ribosomal RNA". It matches the Rfam family "Bacterial small subunit ribosomal RNA", at positions 524 to 796 of the family's 1533-position model. The record is from RNAcentral.